This is a long non-coding RNA of Nothoprocta perdicaria, 477 nucleotides long. RefSeq lists it as uncharacterized. The transcript has 4 exons. Lineage: Eukaryota; Metazoa; Chordata; Aves; Tinamiformes; Tinamidae. The record is from RefSeq and is a predicted model, not a curated record.
UUUAUGUGAUACUACAGCUCUCCUAGAAGCUGCCCGGAAAAUGGUGAAGUUCCUUGUUAGGCAGAAAGAAGCUGGCGUGUGGACUGGUCUUCACCUAGGCACAAGGAGAGUGGCUGAUUCUGCGUACCUUUUGAAUCCUCUCCAGCGUUUUGUCUUUUUUAUUAGUUGAUGUAAAGACCUGAUGCCUGACAUAAUUCCCAGAACCAGAGCAAGAUGGGUAUCAACCUUCACCGUGUUGACUAAAGUACUCCGCUUCAUCCAUGUCUCUUGACCAGCGUGGAAAGAAACCAAAACGGUUCAAGGAAAGAUGAUGUCAAUAAGAUCCAAAUAGGCUAAUCCUCCGCUGUGGAAUUGCAGUGGAUGCCCCUUCUACUUCUCUCCUGGUGGGAAACUUGCUUGUCUUUAAUGGAUACUGCUGGUGCUGGUUGAUCUUUGGAGACUCCGCAGCUCCGUGUUUUUGAGAGGAGGCAGCUGCUU